GACUACAUUCCGUGGCGGAAGGACACGUUACAUAAAAGUCUCGGCGUGAACGCUCUGCGCAGGCCAAUGAGGAAGUGGCGAGGCGGCGAGGCAGCGGGGCCCGCCCCGGGAGCUCCGGGGACCUCCCUCCCAGACCCCCGGGCGCCGGGGCCACCACUGUCGCUGCCAGCUUGGAGUGCUGGACGAGGGCUCUUCUCUUGACCCUCGGCCCAGGCUGCCCCAGCUGUCCUGGCCUAACCGGGCAGUGCGAGAUUUAUGGAUCCUCGGCAGCAUUCCCCCAGCCCUGUCCUGCGACUCCCCAUCCCUCCGGGUGCCCGCCCCAGCACACACCUCGGAAACCGUGCCGCACAGGCAGUUAGGGAGCCCGAGAUGGGAUCAGGAGGUAUUUUCCGACUUUCCGAGGGCUAGUCAACAAUCAAUGAUGAAGGCAGUUUAUCAAUGAAACAGCUGUUAAUUCUUGCCUUCAUGAAGCCAAGUUUUGAGAACAGAUACAACGCUGCCUCAUUAAAAAUCGUUAAGACCAUA
Molecule: long non-coding RNA, 525 nt
Organism: Herpailurus yagouaroundi (jaguarundi)
Lineage: Eukaryota; Metazoa; Chordata; Mammalia; Carnivora; Felidae
Exons: 2
Source: RefSeq, a predicted model, not a curated record